CAAACUAUCCUAAACCCCAACUACAACACAUCAAACAUACACAAAUAUCAUACAUUGUCCACAAGUUCACAUAAAACCUAACCAAGCUCAACUAUCCUAAACAUGCAUUUCUACCCUAUGAAUCAACUUAAAACUUACUUAAAACAUAAAAUGAGUUCAAGAUCGGCUCUUACCUCUUGAAGAUCGAGAGAGAGAGACGACCUAAACUUGGAGAACCAAGGAAAAGAGCUCCUGAGUCUUUCAAGCCUCAAAACUUGCUUAAAUGCUCAAAAAUCUUCAAAACAAAGUGAAAUGUCAUGAA
Molecule: long non-coding RNA, 301 nt
Filed under: Manihot esculenta (cassava)
Lineage: Eukaryota; Viridiplantae; Streptophyta; Magnoliopsida; Malpighiales; Euphorbiaceae
Description: long non-coding RNA (MESC_LNC001216)
Source: RNAcentral